This 1154-nucleotide ribosomal RNA is filed under the name Meloidogyne enterolobii. RNAcentral describes it as "SSU rRNA". It matches the Rfam family "Eukaryotic small subunit ribosomal RNA", at positions 398 to 1586 of the family's 1831-position model. The record is from RNAcentral. Lineage: Eukaryota; Metazoa; Nematoda; Chromadorea; Rhabditida; Meloidogynidae.
GAGAAAUGGCCACUACGUCUAAGGAUGGCAGCAGGCGCGCAAAUUACCCACUCUCGGCUCGAGGAGGUAGUGACGAGAAAUAACGAGACUGUUCUCUUUGAGGCCGGUCAUCGGAAUGGGUACAAUUUAAACCCUUUAACGAGUAUCAAGCAGAGGGCAAGUCUGGUGCCAGCAGCCGCGGUAAUUCCAGCUCUGCUAAUACAUAGAAUUAUUGCUGCGGUUAAAAAGCUCGUAGUUGGAUUCGUAUCGGUACCUUGGAACCCUUCGGGUGUUUCUGGGUGUUAUCGAUUUAUCGUAAUGUUCGGUUUUGAGUCCUUAACAGGAUUUUUAACAGUCAUUGCAAGUUUACUUUGAACAAAUCAGAGUGCUUCAAACAGGCGUUUUCGCUUGAAUGAUCGUGCAUGGAAUAAUAGAAAACGAUUUCGGUUCAGUUUUAUUGGUUUUACGGACUGAGAUAAUGGUUAACAGAGACAAACGGGGGCAUUUGUAUGGCCCCGUGAGAGGUGAAAUUCUUGGACCGUGGCCAGACAAACUACAGCGAAAGCAUUUGCCAAGAAUGUCUUCAUUAAUCAAGAACGAAAGUCAGAGGUUCGAAGGCGAUCAGAUACCGCCCUAGUUCUGACCGUAAACGAUGCCAACUAGCGAUCCGCUGAUGGAAAUUAUAUUGCCUUGGUGGGGAGCUUCCCGGAAACGAAAGUCUUCCGGUUCCGGGGGAAGUAUGGUUGCAAAGCUGAAACUUAAAGGAAUUGACGGAAGGGCACCACCAGGAGUGGAGCCUGCGGCUUAAUUUGACUCAACACGGGGAAACUCACCCGGCCCGGACACUGUGAGGAUUGACAGAUUGAUAGCUUUUUCAUGAUUCAGUGGAUGGUGGUGCAUGGCCGUUCUUAGUUCGUGGAGUGAUUUGUCUGGUUUAUUCCGAUAACGAGCGAGACUCUAACCUACUAAAUAGUUGGUACAUACUCUUUGUGUAUACAGCUUCUUAGAGGGAUUUGCGGCGUUCAGCCGAAAGAAAUUGAGCAAUAACAGGUCUGUGAUGCCCUUAGAUGUCCGGGGCUGCACGCGCGCUACACUGGCAAAAUCAACGUGCUUGUCCUACCCUGAAAGGGGCGGGUAAACCAUUGAAAAUUUGCCGUGAUUGGGAUCGGAAAUUG